UUCAAAACGGCAGUCCACAAACCAAUGGGUGAUGUCACGGUGACUACGUCCACUUCUUACAUACAGUCUAAGGGGUGAGCGAACACUGAUUGGAGACGGGAGAUGUGAUUGGUGGAAACUGUCGUACUUGUGCAGCAUAGCAAUCUGGAGCUCAACAGUUGUGUUUGUGUGUUUAUGUCCCCAUUUUAAACCUCACGCUUUGAGAAGGGGCUGGCCCAUCACACUGUGUAGACAUACACACACACACACACACACACACACACACAGAGAGAGCCUGUAGCACCGCUCCAGCUGUGCUGUAGCUGCCCUCACCAUUAAUUUGUCUGACUUUUCUCUCCUGUGACUGCUGCUUGUCACGGCCUUGUGCCCUAAAGAAGACCCCCCCAUUCCCUCUCUGUGUCUCUGCUCCCACUCCCUGCUGAAUUACAUACACACCAUAUGUACAGAUGGGACAUAGUUAGCUAAUGUGCUACAUUAAUUAAACAUCUCCAUCAUGUAACAGUGAUUCAGCGUAUACUCUGUUGGUGAAAGUUUCCCCAUAGACCUUUUUUUAGCAGCAGAGAUUUUGUCUUGUCACAGCAGCAGGUGUAACUAAUUACAAUAAGAUGGCUCAGUAACAUUUAAAGGUUCCAGUCAGCCGUGAGUCUGACUCAGCGUGUGCUAUGCAAAACUAAAUCUUUAUUUUUUUAAUCACACCUGUGCUUCUCCUGCUGUGACAUUUCCAAAUGUCUGCUGUGAGUCAGCUCUAUUUGCUUUGUCUAAGCAGUCAGUUUAAAUCCCAUACAGCACAGGAAGUGAUGUCACCAUAUGUGCAUUCAGCUUAUAGUCCGCUGCUCUUAACAGUCUGUGCUGGUGGAUCUCUGUGCACGACAAUAUACAGACACAUAAUGAAGCUACUAAACACUAUUUAGUCGGUUAUAAUUAGGAUUUGUUAAAGAAAAUACUUUUUUUUUUCGUCAUUUCAUAACAGUCAGGGUCAGAGUUCUAACCUCUGUCUCUCUCUUUGGUAUUUAUGUCCCUCUUGUCUUGUUGAAAGGCAGAUGUUCGGCCAGAUGUUUGUGUGUGUCUGUGUGUGUGUGUCUCUCCACUGCACACACACUCACACUAAACCCUGGGAGCUGGCAUUGAGACGUUUGGUAAUGCUGCUCAUUCAUUCGGAGGUUUUCCUUCCAACUAACUCAUUUAUUUGCUUGCCAGUCACUUACUCAUCCUUUUAUUUCACUUGCUCAUUCAGAUCAUUAUCCAUUCUACGUUUCUUCAUUGAAGCAUGCAUGUUCAUUCAUUUAUUAAGUCCUUUAAUUGGUCAUUCAUUCAUUUAGCAACAACAAUAAUGUGUUCAUUCAUUCCGUUUAUGACUUUAAUUCACUGAUUCUUUCAUUAUUUCAUCAUCAAUUCAUGUGUUCAUCCAUACAUUCAUAUAUGGAUUAUUACAAUAAUUUAUUAUUCAUUUAUUUUCCCUUAUUUCUUUCAUUAAUUUACUCCUUUUACCAUUUUGUUAUUGAUGCUUCUUGCUACUUCCUCAACUUAUUCAGUCUUCUACACAUUAAGACAUUUAUUCAUUUGAAUUAAUUCAUUGAUUCACUCAGCUAUGAACACUUAAUUGUCUCUACAUAAUAAACGUACAUUAGUGGAGUCAUUAAUGUACUCCCUGGAACCACUGCAGGGCUGCUCUCCACACAUGUACAGCCAUUAUAAAUGUUAAACAACGGAGAAUAUUCCAUCAUAAAGCGUAAGGUGUAGCCCUCAGUAAUAUAUCAGUAGUCAGUAGAUGUGGAGGGCAUUAAGUUAAAAAUAACCUUUACCCUGCAGGUUUAUAUUUGGUGGACUGAUGUGCACUGUAAAGCGCUGGGAUGGAUGUAUUUAGGGUCAGAGUGUCCUGUGGUUGAUCAUUAAAACUCGGAUCCGCCUGCAGCUUCUCUCUGAGGACCAGAUGGGUCCAUCGGGCUGAACCGCACAUACAUAGAAACACUGAGACAGUCUGUCAACCUGAUCCUCCUUCAGCAUCUCCCUCAAUUUGUGUUCAUCUUUCCCCCCGUCACUCUGUUCAUUUUCAUCCCUCUGCCUCAACACGAGCUCCACUGAUCUGACUCUCGUGUCAAAAAUAAUAUUAGUUGAGAAAGUUAAGAAAAUCCACCAACAACGUGAAUGAUUAGUCAUUUUCUUUGUUCAUCUCUGUGUGAUCUUUGCUUUAUCUUUUUCCUUCAGCUCCCCCCUUUAUCUCUCUCUCUCUGUCAGCCAGAUGUGAAUUCUCUUAAUCUUCUACAUUCACAAACAGCCCGGGAAUAAAGAAUCUGUUGUUUUUGUCAACAUGUUAUUUUUUUUUUUUCUGACGUAACCCGAGUCAGUGACGUGAGGUUUACACGGUUUCUGUGCAGGAUUACACUCUGAUCUGACAGUACUGGAAACAAUAGCACUGAAUAAGCUCAAGAUCUGCUGGGUUACACUCUUGACGCUGCUGAAAUGAUGCGUUCACCAGGUGAUUUUGACACAUGAUGCAAUCUCUGACAAACCCAGAAGGUCGUUUAACAAUAGCUAACCACAAGGUAUUGUUGCAAGGUAUUUCCAGAAUCCAAGACUCUUCUCUCGACCUGGAUUUAACCCUCGGGGCCUUUUUUGCACCUGUCACAUAUUACUCACUGUGGCCUCGUUCUUCACUCGCUUCUCUCUCAUUUCUUUUUUCUACAUUGAAGUCCUGCACCUAUGGAAACAGCACAAUCAUGGCUACAGUAGAAGUAGGGAGAACUCAAACAUGUCUUUUGUGUAGUAUAACACAAUUAUAAUGCCGUAAAAGAAAGAAAAGGUAAACUAUUUACAUGGUUACAACCCAUACUUACAGCUUAUCUUGUCCUCUCCCCUCUCUGCUCCGUGUAAUCCAGUUCAGUUUGAGUUUCACCGAUUUUUUUGUCACGUGACUGUUGGUCUCAGGCAAAUCAUACAUGGCUUCCCAGUUGCGCUCAGGAACUUAGAAUUUAAUGUUUUUUACAGGAUCCGGUUCGUGCUAAUGGUUUAUUUUUUGGCAACAUUUUAAAUGAGACAUGUAGAAUAAUGUGAUUUUGAUGAAAUGUCACUAUUUUAAGCUUAGAUUUGGCUAUUUUUACCUGAAGCGUUCGUCACACAUGGUUUGUUCAAGGGCCAUUGGAAAUUUAAAAAUCCAAUGAUGAUUUUUGUUUUUUACAGUUUCUGGCUUUAUGAUAAAUGAAGUAGCGAUUUCUUUAAAAAGAAAACCUGCCUUUCACAUCCACCGGUGGGUUGUUUGGUUCAGAGCGAAAAAAAUAUACCCUCUGCUGUACACUAAAAAAGAUUUAACUUGUCACCCACUUUGCAACUGUGUUCCUAAUCCAAACAAAAAUCGUUGCGGCAUAUCUGCUCUUUCACGGCAGUGUUAGUUUUGCCUAAAAUAAUAUUUUGACAUUUCGCGAAUUACACUUAUUUACUUUCUCAUAUCCGUCUGUCUAAUAUUAAGGUGGAGCCAGCAGUCGCUUAACUUAGCUUAGCAUAAGGACUGGAAACAGAGGGAAACAGCUACGCUGGCUCUGUCCAAAAGUAGCUAAAUCAGCCUACCAGCACCUUUAAGUAAGGGAUAAUGUGAUAAAAUAAAGGAUUCUUUCACAACAAUGACCUGCUAGCUGUACAUUAUCCUGUUUAUUACACGGCUCCUUACUUAGGAAAUCAAUAGUUUGACACAAAAGCGGUCCGCCAGAGUUCGUCAUCAGAACUGCGCCCAUAGCAACGGUCUUCUGUUAUAAAGAAAUAACAGACCGUAGAACGCAGUGAUUGACCAAUCAGAAUCGAGUAUUCAACAAAGCCGUGUAAUAAGCUUGCUCAACUAUUAUUGGAGCACAGAGCGAAAAGGGGCGGGACUUAGGAAGGGUCAAAGGGUAAUCAAUCAAAAUAAUCACAAUUAGAUAUUUUUUCCAAAUCCUUCAGCACUAGUGAUGAUCAGUUUUUGUCACAACAACUACCAACUAGAAACAGUUAUUAUAAACUUCUGUUGCAAUAACGAAUGUCUCUCUCACACAGUAAACAUGCUGACAGACAUUGAAAUGGAAAACAGUGCUCAAAGUCUUCCGUUUUCAGCCUCCUAUAAACACAAAGAGUUGUGUCAGGUGUAGAGGAAGACAUCAAACAGCUUGCAGUAAGCCUGUUGAAGCUCUGCUGCAGCUGUAUGCAGAGGAAAGCUUUACUGACGCUGCUUCAGAAGCUGCUGCUCUCCGUGGAAAACCUGUGCUGGAUCUGCUGCGACAGAUUGGGGUUAAAAUUUUCCUUCAGGAUGCUUGGAACAAAAAACCGCUGGAACACAGCGAAAAAUAGAUGCGACCAGAGUUUGAUAUGACAGUGGAAUAUGAACACACACACACACACUCGUACGCAGGAGUGUGCAAAUAUUUAAAUGCACUCGCAGGCAGAGCUCCUGUUAGCAUAAUCAUAGGGACAAUAAGCAGAUAUUAGUUUCAAGGAUAAUGUGAGGAUACAAAUUCAUCCCAACAAACACACACAAAUAACACACACACCGGGGAACGUUACGUUUCAGAGCCGAAUAAUCUCCACCGCCGCAACAGCCAGAGGCCUUGUUUCGUGAUAUAAAAACACAGUGAUUGACUUAAAGUGCAGAUUAUACCCGACAGCAUGUACACAGAGCUUUAGCGAACAGAUUCCCAGUAGUAUGGAGAGCACUAAUAACUCCUCUAAUUGGCAAUUUGAGGGGAAAAAAAGCAUUAGUGGUGUCGUAUGUGUUAUGUGUGACGUUUGUUUACCCGUUUCUAUGAUGAGAAAUUGCAAAAAAAAUACGAGCUAAAUCAUUUUAUGUUGACUCAAACUGAUCUUUCCAAUAGAAGGAAAUAAUCUAGACCAAUUAGACGUGGAGAAAACUUGUACAUGCUCUUUAAUCUAGAUAAUACCUCUUUGUUUUUUUCUGUCUCUAACCACUUGUUUUGUCUCAACUAAUUGUCUAUCUAACUCUCUGUCCCUCUAGUACUAAAUUAUCCCUCUAGUACUCUCUCUGCUCUUUCUGUCCCUUUUGCUGUCAUCUCAUUUUCUCUGUCAGAUUAGACCAGAGACUUUGCUUGGCCCUGACCAUCUGCCCUCCCAAAACCAGACUUGUUAAGACUCCUUUCAACUCUUGAACUUUAAUCAGCAGGUCCCUGCGCCUAAAGAAAAAAAAUGAAAUUGAAUCUCAUAAGGCUCGGGGGAUUUCCAGCACUUCUUUGAGUGUAUGACUUUUCGCAGGUGCUCAAAAAGACAAAAAAUAUCCUAAAUUGCCGACAUGUUCUCAUCCCAACUCGUCACAUACUGACGCUUUGUCAGACCCCUCGGUGUCACAUUUCGGUCUCAGUAAACACGUCCUUAAUGUGAAUUAAUCAAAAACACUUGCUUAGGAUCAGGCAACAAAACCACUUAGUUAGGUUUAGGAAAGAACAACAU
Long non-coding RNA from Sebastes umbrosus (honeycomb rockfish), 5421 nucleotides. RefSeq lists it as uncharacterized. The transcript has 2 exons. The record is from RefSeq and is a predicted model, not a curated record. NCBI's taxonomy places the organism in Eukaryota, Metazoa, Chordata, Actinopteri, Perciformes, Sebastidae.